UUAAGUUCAGCGGGUAUUCCUACCUGAUCCGAGGUCAACCUUGGGUAAAUAAGGCUUUUAACGGCCGGAACCCGCAGCACGCCCAGAGCGAGAUGUAACUACUACGCUCGGGGUGACAGCGAGCCCGCCACUGGUUUUCAGGGCCUGCGGCAGCCGCAGGUCCCCAACACAAGCCGGGGGCUUGAAGGUACAAAUGACGC
RNAcentral lists this unclassified non-coding RNA (200 nucleotides) under Retroconis sp. RNAcentral's name for it is "partial internal transcribed spacer 2". Lineage: Eukaryota; Fungi; Ascomycota. The record is from RNAcentral.